GGAGGGUCAAAACCUUCCUUUGUAUGAUUUUGUUUUGUGCCACUUUUUUGAUUUGCUUCCUAUCUUUAAGCUUGAUUCAAUCUGCUGAUGCCCAAAAUGUCUGAGGUGUCCAGCCGGUAAAGGCCAGGAAAUACUACAGUACUGCGAUGGAGGCUGUUCUUAUCCGCUUCUUUGGCUUCGUGCAUGACACACUAACACACCUGAGCAAUCUGUCCGCCUGUCUCCAGAGGUCCACCAUCACCAUAGCAGAAGCCCACUGCUCCUUGUUCUCAACACAGACAGUACUUAAAGAAGUAAAAAAACAGAGAAGGGCCCAUGAUGAAGGCCACAAUGGCCAACAGAUAUGAGGGGAUUUCGCUGACCAGGUGACAUCAAGACCCUCGUCACCUCACAGGACAAAAUGCUUCACAGGCGAGUCGUGAUUAUGACUGACAGGUUCCAGGUCGCCAGUGUAGGGGUUCUGUGUGCCAACAAGCUGGUCAGCUUCACUAACUGGCCAGUGUCAGGAGAUGAAGCAGCAGGUUACUUUAUGUGUUGUAUUAAAACCCCACCUGUUCCGUUUGGUUGUUAUUGACUUUGUUAGUUUCCUCUUCUGUCUGAGUGCCAUUUUUUGGUUUUCUUGCUGGGAAUGUAACAUUUCCCAACCCACCGUACUCAGUAGUGAAGAAUGUCAUUGAGGGGUCCUCAGAGUCCGUUGCGCUUUGAGACAGUUGAGAGGGCUCUGUCCCAGGGUCCAUUUCAGUAGUGUUAGGGGCAGCCACACCAUCCCCUGGAACUGGAGGGGGGAAACACGUCAGCAUUAGAGAAGCAAGGCUCAAGCCACACUCACCUUAGAAUACACCUCUCGUUGCCAUCAUUUGGCCGUAUUUGAGAAGUGGAUAAUCUAUUUGUCAACUAUUUGUCAUUUCACGAUUGCUUUCAAAAUAGAAACGGACAAUAUUCAUACGAUUACCGGUGUUUUAUCUCUUAACACUCAAAAGUUGGUUUCUCCACUGACUGUUUGAUAAGGGGAACCAUGGGGUGUUAAAAACACUCGGAGACUAGCGUUUUGACUGUCAAUGUGUUCAGCCUGAGACAUGGCAUGUAAUUAUCCUGACACUCACACCUCACCAUUGCUACAGCCCAACCUUCCUUUGUCACAGACCCACUGAAAAUAUCCUGAAAAACUCCUCAGUCCUUAUGUCUGACUGAAAUGACACCCACUCUGCAUUUAAGAGCAUGCUGUGUUGGUUGUGUCUCAACCGAUGGCGGGCACAACUCAAACACCUCCAUUAUGCAAAAUACGGCCUACACUACAACAUAUGCAAACAUCUAUAUUACAAUAGAAGUUUAUGAAUUGUUUGAUAAUUGAUGUUAAAUGAUAUAAUAGUUUGACAACCCCUGUUUGUAAGCUUUUAAAUGAUAUCAAACACAACCUUUUAUGUUUUCCCGUGAUGAUGACAUGGAAAUCUCAUGGUAGGGUGGGGUACGGAAAAUGGGUCAACUCCUAAAUGUCUUGGCAUUAGGUCCAAAGAGCUACUUUUCUGUGGAAAGUAUUAGGGCCAAGUGAAGAGAACAAAUAAAUAAAGAGUGAUGGGUGGUAGUACUUUUUUUUCACAUGGAUUGUACUUUAAAAAUAUAUAUUUUGAGAAUAAAGUUGAAGUACAUUUGAUUUAGGCUUGCCGU
Oncorhynchus mykiss (rainbow trout) is the source of this 1665-nucleotide long non-coding RNA. RefSeq lists it as uncharacterized. The record is from RefSeq and is a predicted model, not a curated record. Lineage: Eukaryota; Metazoa; Chordata; Actinopteri; Salmoniformes; Salmonidae.